GCGCCCGUAGUUCAAUUGGAUAGAACGCUUGACUACGGAUCAAGAGGUUGGGGGUUCGACUCCUCCCGGGCGUACCA
RNAcentral lists this transfer RNA (77 nucleotides) under bacterium. RNAcentral describes it as "tRNA-Arg". It matches the Rfam family "tRNA". From Rfam's summary of the family: Transfer RNA (tRNA) molecules are approximately 80 nucleotides in length. Their secondary structure includes four short double-helical elements and three loops (D, anti-codon, and T loops). Further hydrogen bonds mediate the characteristic L-shaped molecular structure. tRNAs have two regions of fundamental functional importance: the anti-codon, which is responsible for specific mRNA codon recognition, and the 3' end, to which the tRNAs corresponding amino acid is attached (by aminoacyl-tRNA synthetases). tRNAs cope with the degeneracy of the genetic code in two manners: having more than one tRNA (with a specific anti-codon) for a particular amino acid; and 'wobble' base-pairing, i.e. permitting non-standard base-pairing at the 3rd anti-codon position. The record is from RNAcentral. RNAcentral also lists the same sequence under 1 other name.